Molecule: unclassified non-coding RNA, 2311 nt
Filed under: Hevea brasiliensis (rubber tree)
Lineage: Eukaryota; Viridiplantae; Streptophyta; Magnoliopsida; Malpighiales; Euphorbiaceae
Source: RNAcentral
GGGGGGAGAGAGAGAGAGAGAGACUUAAUAUAGCAUUACAUAGAGAGGACGAUAACUGGAUUGUGAUUACCAUAACUAUCUUUGGCUGCAAUAUCUUCAGCAAAGGUUGAGCUUUCGUCAUCCUGGUAAUCAAAUAUCAUGUUGAAAGUCAUUAACAGGAUAUUUAAAAUAGUUUAAACAUUUACAACGGAGCAAUAUGUCGAUUUUCCCCAGUUCAAUUAUUAAAUAAACUAGGAUGUGUACUAGAACAUUCAUUUUGGGAAGGUCCUAAUAUGAACAAGACAAAUUGCUUGGAUAAAUUAUUUCUAGUUUCAAACAUACUGAUUUUUCAGUGCUUUGGUCUCUUUUGCAGGAUGAAGAUAGCCCAAAAGUUACUAAAGAAAUUGGAGAAAAAAAUUUCUAGAAUAAUGCUUAUGACUAUUAAGCUGAUAUAUUUUGGAAGCUGCAGAAAAGGGUAUCAAAUCCAGCAGGGUCUCCUCUCUGCAUAUGAAAACAUGGUCCUUCAACACCAAAGCAAUAGAUGUUGCUUCUGAAGCAAUGCAGGCCACAAAAAAAUAACUUCCCUUGAGCAAAACAGAAACAAGUUUGACAGAAAUGGCAUCAUAAAGCAAACCAUGCCCGAUUAUCCACCACCAUAAAUUUUCACAAACUGGAUACAUUCAAUGGAACUAAACUUGAACAGAAAAAUAUAACCUUACCGUAUUCCAGAAAGGAAUGAACAAUGUAGAACCUUCAUUGCUAUUGGCUUGAAAGGCAAGAGAGCCAUAUCAGCAUCCAAUCCAUCCUGCAAAUUAUAAAUUCCUUAAGCCAUUUCUUUAAAUCAACAACAACAAAUAAUUGUACCUUUAAUUUCAGUUAAGAAGAAUGAAGAGAAUUCUAACUCUAAGAAUGUAAUUAGGAAACAUAUUUCGUAAGUCAUUAGAAAAUAUAAAGUACUUGGGCACCUCUAAAACAAGUAAAGAGUUUCGAUCCCCACACCAACGACGAAGCAAAUGAACAAUAGGACCAAGCCGCAGACUCCAGUGAGGAGCAAAAAUAAUGCAUGGUUCCUGCCAAUUGGCUCUAACCACAAAAAUGUUAGUUUGAGAAGUGAAAAUUACUGUUCGGCUAUCCAUGCAAGGUCCUUGAUAAUGCACUACCAUAAGAACUCUUCUUUUUGUUGAUAUAUCCUUUCUUUCUCAAUUAUUGCAAGAGACAAUUAUUUAGGUACUAACCUCAGCAAAUUUUUUUUAAGAAAAGCACUACUUUCAAGCAAAACAUAAAGCAGCACUCUGGGGGACUUUAGAAACAGUAAUUUUCCACAUUGACUUAACAUGUCUGACAAUGUUAUAGGAAACAACAAUUACUAUAUUUUCGAUGAACAUUAGCAUAGCACCAAAUUCUAAUAAACCACAAGUGUUAAAAUAGAUUUGCGAAUAGACAAAAGAAUAAGAAUUAUUCUAGGCCAAGAAGGAAGUCAAAGUUUGGAUGAUAUAACAAAUUCAAAGUAUUCCCCACACAGAAGAGUCUGUCAGAGUCAUGGAAGGAUACAUUUAAUAAAAAUUACUGACAUUUGCCUAUAAAAGAAUGAGUCAUUUGCAAGAAAUAUAUUUGCAUAACAAAGAUAUUCCGUACAUCAGAUUGGGUGAAUGAAUAGCAGGAAACACAUAUAGCUUCUUUCCUUUCAUGAGCUCGAUGUGCGAAUACAAUGGCUCACCAGAAAACAGCUGUCAGACAUCAAAAGGAAAAUCAAACAUGUUUUGCAAGCAAUAGUACUACAAAUGAAAUAUAGUUCCACACAAUAAACCAAUAAGCCUCCAAACUUAUGUACCUUCUCUUGCCGGAGUUUGGAAAGCCAUUCUGGUAUAAUAUUGGUGAACGCCAGUAGCUCUGCCGCUACAGAAGAGAUAACAUAUAUUGGAACCUUUACAGCUGAAGAUUCAAGGGAAAUUGGUAUCUGCUCCAGCAACUGCAGAACAAUUCCAAGUCGACUCAGGGGAAUAAGGACAGAACCACCAGCCUUAACAGAAUCCACAACACAUGAGCAUAUAAAAGCUAGUUUCUUACUUUCCUCUAUGCUCUCAUCAUUUCUCAAUAAGCAUUCAUUCAAUUCUUUCCAAUUAUCUUCAUCACUGAGUGUUGACAAAUUGUUAGUAGUUGGAGCAGAAUAGUUAUCAUGAUGUUCAACAUCUUCUAUCACAUCCUCAGAUGAGAAGUCCAAAUACAAGAUCAGAUCAGCCCCUUGCAAAGCACGAUAGUCAAACUCCAUCGCACAAGCAGACACAAAUAUAGAGCUUGAUAAACAUGAAAUAUUUCCUUCUGGGCUUUCAAC